AUCAACUGCAGUUAGUAGUUUGCCUGCAGCUAAUACCGGUAGCUUUUUUGUUGUUGUUGGCGAAAAGUUUCGCUUAAAAAUUUGUUCUCGGUCUUCUAAAGUCAAGUGGAGUGAUUUACUUUCUAUUGAAGAGAGUUCGCGGCAAUUAAUGGCAAUUUGGAAUCAAUCGGAAAGAGUUAUUUGAAAACGCUGCCACUUCGGAUCAUCGAUAUUUAUUCCAAAUUUAUCUUCGCCGAUGGACAUUCAGGAAUGUUCCAAAAGCACUGCGUUGCGCAGCCGUGCGUUGAACAAAGCGAGAGUGUUCCGCCCGCAGUCGGAAAUAUAUGUUUGAGGAUUCAAACAAAUUCGGAACACAUAGCAGUUUCAAUACUGUUGCUGGGAAAUAAUGCAGGUGGCGCGAAGAAAGUAUUUUGCUUAGCAGUAGCUAUUUCAUGAAGUGGUUUUACGCAUCGGGAUUACAACUGUUGAAUGAGACUACUUUUUGCGACUGGAAAAGAUCUAUUCCUGAAGUAUUACAUCCGGAAGUGUACCCAAGAGCAGGGCUGUUUAAGCAUUUUCCAUAACUAAAAGUACAAACAAAACAUUUUGAGGAGACCACAAAGUGAUGAAAGUUAUUGAAAGGUAAUUUUUCACAUUAUUGGAUGAUUAUGAACAGACAAUUCCACAC
Long non-coding RNA from Armigeres subalbatus, 667 nucleotides. RefSeq lists it as uncharacterized. The record is from RefSeq and is a predicted model, not a curated record. The transcript has 3 exons. Lineage: Eukaryota; Metazoa; Arthropoda; Insecta; Diptera; Culicidae.